GACGAACGCUGGCGGCGUGCCUAAUACAUGCAAGUCGACCUUAGUGGCGAACGGUGGAGUAACACGUGGGUAACCUACCCCUCAAACGGGGAUAACCCUUGGCAACAAGUGCUAAUACCGUAUACUGAUGGAUGUACCCGCGGUGCAUUAGCUAGUUGGUGAGGUAACGGCUCACCAAGGCCACGAGGCAUAGCCGGCCUGAGAGGGUGAUCGGCCACAUUGGGACUGAGACACGGCCCAAACGCCUACGGGAGGCAGCAGUAGGGAAUCUUCGGCAAUGGACGAAAGUCUGACCGAGCAACGCCGCGUGAGUGAAGAAGGUUUUCGGAUCGUAAAACUCUGUUGUUAGAGAAGCGGUAUCUAACCAGAAAGCCACGGCUAACUACGUGCCAGCAGCCGCGGUAAUUC
Molecule: ribosomal RNA, 408 nt
Filed under: uncultured bacterium
Lineage: Bacteria
Description: partial 16S ribosomal RNA
Rfam family: Bacterial small subunit ribosomal RNA
Source: RNAcentral